UGCCGCAUGAGGUGACGGUAUUGCGGGCUCGUGGGCCUUUGAUGUAGCACUGGUACCCUCUGAUGUUGCGAACCCAUAAUAUUUAUUUUCAUACUAUACAUGGGCAAUACAGUAGUCAACCUCGACCAUACGUUUUUUUUAGCGGUAACUCAACCGCAUGUAGAACGGUAGAAGUCCCUUCCUUUUCAUGAGAGAUGCUGUGUGAAAGCCGUCCAGCAGAACCCACUUACAAGAUGAUUCGCCAAAAAAGAAUGCCGUCUUGGCCUCUCACGUCUCCUCUUCAAGAAAAGUUUAGGGUUCGUCCACCUACCGCCAUCGCUGUUGUCGGUCCGCCUCGGUGGCCUUAGGGCUAUCGGGCGCGGUGGAUCCCGGUCCUAGCCGACGGGAGGGUUGUGUAUUUAGAUGUUUCUUCGUGUUUUGUUAGGGUUUGUGUCAUGCGCAGGAAGAUGAGGCUGUGGCGACUCCUGAAGAUGGAAUAAAGUUUUUCCCGCCCAGCGUUCGUCCCGAUGGUAUGUUUUGCAUCGUCGGUGGGCACGUGGAUGUGUGUCUCUGGCGGAUCUGUCUUCGGUGGAUUUGGUCGGAUCUGGUCGUUGUUUGUCUACGUUUGUGUGUCUUCAGAUUGGAUCAUUUCGAUCUACGCUACUCCUUAUCAGCGACGGUUGCUGUUCUGGUGCGCUGGUUCUAUGGGGUCUUAGCACGACGACUUCCAGACUGUCUACUACAACAAGUUUUUCCCCGGCUCCGGUGAGGGAGGGGCGAUGACGGCGGCACGCCUUCGGCUCGCUCCAAUGCUUGUAGUCGCCGCUAGGUGGUCUACGGAUCUGAAUGUAAUUAUUAUUAUUUCUGGUAUUCGUUGUACUGUCAUGAUUAAAUAUGAAUAGAUUGGAAGUUUUCACCCCAAAAAAUGAGAUGUUGUGAUUUGGGGGACUCCCUAUGCAACGCUCUAUGUGGCAAAUACACACCCUUUUGCACAGUGCUCACCCAAAUGGGCUGGCCCAUUCACGACGCGGGCGGUAGACUGUACCGAGCAAGCGGCGUGAUUUUGUUUGGAUGACGGAGACAGUACUGUCCCGAACCGGAGAAAGCACUGUAGUGAACCCAAGAAACAUGUACCACCUCUUUUUGGUCAGUUUUAAAAAACAUUGUAAUGAAAUUUUGGAAACCUGAACAUUUCUAGGAAAUACGAACAGAUUUUUAAAAGAAUCGAACACUUAUUGUACAGGCGAAAAUGUUUUGAAAAGAUGAACAGUUUUCAGAUUACAAACAGUUUUUAAAAAAGUGAACAUUUUUUGAAACACAAAAAAUUCUUGAAAAUUUAAACAUUUUCUGAAAAUUUUACCCAAACAGAAGACUGUCGACUGUAAAACAAAAUAUUUCAGGGACGAGCGUCCUUUAGAAAAUUCUGUGACUUAGCUUGGUCCAUAAUGUUGAUAACCCCUCUGCUCGUAUGAAACCUGGUACAAUUCGAUUCAACCCAGCCUAUUCAAUUACUUCAGCUUAUUUUGUAAUGUCUUCUUAAUUCAAUUUGUGUUCUAAAACAGGCCCAUUUUUUGUUAUCGGUUCAUGCAUUAUACUCUGUAUUAAAUUGGUAAUAUUAAAGAUAAGUGGGCCACACAAACCCCACAAGAGAUAUUCCUCCCUCAAACAGGGUGCUUCACCCACGAUGGAAAAAAACCUCAGGGUCACCCCUGGGCAAGGUUAGUGAAAAACAUAAUGUCUGAAGCAACUUCCAACAUGAAUCAGAGUUGUCUUCCCAUGAGUUUUCUUGGAAUCUCAAAAUUCCAAAAUUACAAAAACUAGAACUUUCAACUACCAAAAAUUACAAAAAAAAGGGAGUUGCAAGUUUCAGAAAAUAUAAAAUUUGGAGCUUUCAACUUUCAGACUAAAAAAAACUUUAUAUAGGCCACGAAUAUUCCUGGACAUUCAACAUAAAACGCAUGUUUCAGAUAAUUCCUUGCAUCUUUGAACAAAAAAUAUAGCACUUCUCAACAUUUUUAUGACAUUCAAUAAUAUUAAGUACAUAAACUUCUUCCAACUAGUAAAAAAAGAGACAAAAAAAAGAAAUGUCAACACCCAGCUCCAGGAUAUGGUCGCACCCACCUAAUGUCCACUCAUAUCUGCCAGAGGCCUGCUCACUGUCACCUUGAUCAAGUGAAGACAGUCUCAAAUUGGUCUCUGCUGCAAAUCUCCUUGUUGGCGCUGACAGCAAAACUCUUCUUUACAAUUGGACGACGUUAGGGGAGAAUGGUGGUUCAUCAGCUCAUCGGAAAUGCUAUUUCUUCAUUUUUUAUAUUCAAGAGAUAACAAACCUUUUUGUGAGUCCUAGUAAAUGGUAUGCGCAAUGCAUGUUGAUAUUAGGGAGAAAAAUAAUUAUACGUCAAUAUUAGUUAGGAUAUCAAUUAUGCAUUAAUUAUAUGGAUAGUGUAUAUGUUGAUAUAGGAUAUGAUAUUAACUGCAAGCUUAACAUGUUGAGCGCUCACCAUUGGAGCAAUAUAGGUCGUUGGAUUGACACGAUUUGAUGGCCAAAAUUUGUUGGAUCUGCCCCUUUGGUCCCGUUAUAUUGGUAUAUAGGUAUAUAGAUAAUUAGAUAUAGAUAUAAACUUAAAAGAUAAUAAACUACUCCCUCCAUAAGAUCAUUUUGCAAGCUGAAUCAGCUCCAAAACAGCUUGCAAAACGAUCUUAUAUUAUAGGACAGAGUAGUAGAAAACAAUCUAGGCAUGCAUUACCAUUUAUUAUUGUAAAAGAGAUGUACAAUAACACAUUCCUAGUAUUAUAUAAAUAGACACUCAAGAUGUAUGCCGCAUGAGGUGGUUAUCUCUGGGAAGUAGGGGCCAGGGAUGUAGCGCCGGUACAUCGGAUCCUGCCGGUACUUGCAGAUGCACACCUCCUCCGCUCGGAGGUUCGAGCAGCACAAUGUCGUAGGAGCCUUGCCGUCUCUGAUGGCUGGAUCGCAAGCCAGGAGCAACUGCGGUCUGCACUCCAACUCCGCCACCACCGCGCUCAGCGGCACCACCACUAUGAAUACCGCGCACAUAAUCACCGCUGCCGGUCUAGCCAUGAUCUUGGAUGUCUGCGACUUAUCUAAACACAGUGUCCUCAAGUUGGUGUGGUGCAAGGUAAGCCAAGCACACCACUUGUAUAUAUGGGCGCUGCUACGUCCGCCUGUACGGCCGUUUGAUCUUUCCCUGGCAGCCGUUGGAUUCGUAGCGAAGAAACAACAAGAGUCACUGCGGAAGCAGAGCUCCGCACGGCUUCGCAAGCAGGAGCCGCACCCCCCUCACUUCGCAAGCAGGAGCCGCACCCCCCUCAACGGCGGUCGGCGGAGCUGGGUGUUCAGCAGCAACGGCGGCACGGUGAUGCGCCAUUGCAGCGCCAAAACCGGCGCGAUGGUGCUCCAACGCAGCUCCGGCGACCCGUAGCAACUCCGGCCAUGCGCCAUUGCAGCGCCAAAACCGGCGCGGGGGUGCUCCAACGCAGCUCCUGCGACCCGUAGCAACUCCGGCCAUGUGCCAUUGCAGCGCCAACACCGGCACAUGGUGCUCCAACGCAGCGCCGGCGGCCCGUCGCUGCUCCGACCCCUGCUUCAUUGCAGCCGCAACACCGGCACACGGUGCUCCAACGCAACCCCGGCGGCCAUCGGCGAAGCUCCAUUGCAGCACCGGUGCCCCCCGGCAAAGCUCCAUUGGCGGUGACGGGUGUUGUGACGUAGCGCGUGGCGACGACGGCGAAAGCUGAGAUGCAGCGCCCACGGCCAUGACCGAUGCAGCGUUGCCGGCGAUGGUGCUUUGAUGCAGCGCGGCGGCCAUGGCGGAAGCUCCCCGACGCAGUGGUCGGCAUACGCGUCACAAGGCGUCUUUCACGCCUGAAAUUACUAUGCAGCCAUUAAUACCUGCCAUUUUUACCCUGAGAUUUACGGCAAUCCCGAUCGAUCCAAUUCAUCUCGAUCGCCAAAAUCGCUCGCUCAAUUAAAAUGGGUCAUUAAAAAGAUGGCUGGAUUGUAAGGUAAGCCAAACACACCACUUGCCCCGGAGCCAUUACUACUGCACCGUUUUUUACCCUGAGAUUUGUACAGCAAUCCCCUCGUUCUAAUUAAUCUCGCCAAAAUCGUUCGCCCUAAUGAAAUUACGUCAUUGCGUCAAUAAUAAAAUCGCUGGUGGACAUGUGGCCCCAACAGGAGUCCAUCACGGCAACAAAAUGGAGCUAAUCCACAAGUCUUCAAUUUUGACUAACUAACAGUUGGAACCUUUAUGUUGGAUAAACUUGUCAGGUGGAAUGCUACAGAGAAGGGCGUGGUUGGGUGAAUACAGCGCUCAAGUCAAUCGGCAGGAGAAGCCAUUGUUCUGCCAUUGUCUACUGAAUUGGUUGCAGAUGCUUUACAGUGGCCCAGCAAGUCUACUUGCUAGUAAUGCAUCAGAAAGUUUCCUAUAUGUACUGAAAACUGGAGUGAGCUCAAUUUUGCAAAAGCCCUCUUCUUCUGUAAGGGAGGAAACUCUAGUCCCCCUUAUCCAAUUUCAGAGCCCAGUCCGAGCUCCUAUCUUAUCUGAAACAAAAGCAAGAAAGCGGCAGCGCAUGGUGAACACCAAAAGUAUUUUGCUCUAGAAUUUUCCCUAGCUUAGGGUUUUCUACCUAACAGUAUCUUCCUAUGAUUACCUUGGUUAUCCGAGAACCUUUUUCUCAAAAUAAAGAGCUAGGACAAGCUUUCAAUAUGGCCAAGGGAGAUAUUUGGAACACAGUUUAAUUAAGCGCUAUAUGAAGAAUAAGUGUAACAGCGUCUCAGUUCUUGUAUUUGAUUGGCUUCUCUGAUUUCAUUUCAUAAGUGUCAAACACAAGUUUUCCUUCUCUUUCAUUUCUACUUACAGAGAUAAAACACAUGAGUUACACUGAAUUUGAAUUGCGCCUGGUUUAAAAAAAAACUUCUUUGCUGAUUUCAUAAGAGCGCAAAACAUAAUUCAUUUAUGAAAAACAUUUCAAUUAUAUGUCUGGCUUAAGUUUUUUUAUAAUUUCAGAAAUUCAUAGGCAGACUGUUUUGGGCAAGUUUCACAAAGAAAAAGAUAACUGAGGCUACUCCAACACCGACAAAGGAGCUGACUUUGAAAACUGGGCGCCGCUGAUCAUUCUUCAUAGUCGUCUACACUUAAUAUGGUUGACCACACAACUCGCACCGAGACCAACGCUCCAUUGCUAAACCGAUACAUUUGCUCCUCUUCGUCAUGCUUGGACGCCACAAACGAAAGCGCGUCUUGGCCCUCCUCCAUGAAGUCUAUCCGCAGCGUGUCCCCUAGAUUCACGGCUGCAACGAAUUUUUGAAUGUGCUUCCCGCUGGAUGGUAUAAAACCCACUGUGUCACGGCAGUGCUCAUCAAUGAAGGAGUAGGAGCCUUGGGAAAGGACAGUGUUGCCACGCAUGCGCACAAGAAAGCCAUCUGCAGGCACCUCCACAAAAUCCAGGUCUAUAGUAGCCUCCAUGCCUCUAGGAACAACACAUGUUUCCAGUGUAAUCUUGCCGUUGAUAUCAUCGACAUGGUUCAGUCUCCACGGGUCAAACUGUUCACAUGCUUUCAGGCAACCGGAGACAAUACUUAAGUCUUCAUCAACCACCUUGGCCUUCGCCUUUAUAUCAAUUUCGAUCAAGCAGCAUGUUGCGAGUAUUCCUCUUGCAGGAUUCCUCAGGCAUAAAUAGCCACCUUUCUAAAAUGUAGGGAAGAGACUUAAUAUUGAAUAUUCUCCAUAAAUAACAUCAAUGAUGUAUAGGAAAGAAGGAAGGAUUACGUACUGGGUCAAUUGCUUGUGCAUUCUCUCUAGAGCAAUGGAAAAUGUAGUUGCGCGAGAAAUCCAGGUGAUCCCUUACUGCGAUCACGCCAUAGACCUCGAUAUUAUUUGAUUGUACCAUAUUGUCACGCAUAAACUUGACAAAACAGUAAGAUUUCGUAUACAGCUCGACCAUGACAUCAAGGAACUGUAGCAUAGGGACAGGGUUGUGUGGGCAUCUGUCAUCACCACCAAAUUCACAUGAAGCGUAUCUCAUCGGACCCGGCCGAGCUGAAUAAAUCAAGUAGUUUGGGUCAUACUACCACUUGUAUCAUCAUCAUCAUCAUCAUCAUCAGAUUGGAGAAGAAAGAAGAACGCUAGUAUUGAUUGGUAAAAAGAUUUGGUUGUGCAACAUAAAAUUAGCUUACCUGGUGAGGGUCGGUGUAGGAGGUGUAGCUGGUGGUAUCGAGUCCACAGAAAAGCCUUUGAUUUCUGUAUCCCUGGACAAUGUUUGUUCGGAGAUAUGGUGGUUCGGCCGCCGGGUGUCCACGGUCUGCGCUGUCGUCGUCUUGCUGUCCUCAUCGUCAUCUGCGCAUUCGUCGGCGUAAUGCCGCCCUUGCAGCACCGCCUCCCAGUCCUCUCGCUCCGCCUCCUGGUGAUGUCUGUCCGCGAAAUCCAGUACCUCAGCGACGGCAACGGCAUCGGUGAAUACGCUGCAGGGCCCGCGGGCGCCGGCGAUGAGUUGAUGCAUGCGGCGUUCCUCUUGGGUGGGCUCUGGUACCUCCCGGCACGAGAUGUCGACGAUCCGGCGCCGCGUGUCCUGAGUCAUGCUGGCCCACGCCUCGUCCGAGAACAUGUGGUCGAACUCGGGCGGCCGACGCAGCUCAUCCAUUGACGGCGACGGCGGCGGCAUUCGAGGUUGGGGAUUGGGGGGAUUAGGGGUUCGGUCGACCCCUGUCUCACUCUCGCGAGGGCUCUACUGAUAUCGAGCUGGGCUCACCAGGCCAGAUCCCAGCGUGAGUAGACUUGGGCCAGAAUCAGCCUCUGUUUGGACCGUUUCUUAUUGGGCUAAAGUUCUUACUCUAAUUUAUAUUGGGCUGAAAAUAGAAAACAUUAAAAACGAAUAGGAAAAAAUCCGAAAGGAAAUCGAUAAAGAAAAAACACAGAAAAAUAGGAAAUNNNNNNNNNNNNNNNNNNNNNNNNNNNNNNNNNNNNNNNNNNNNNNNNNNNNNNNNNNNNNNNNNNNNNNNNNNNNNNNNNNNNNNNNNNNNNNNNNNNNNNNNNNNNNNNNNNNNNNNNNNNNNNNNNNNNNNNNNNNNNNNNNNNNNNNNNNNNNNNNNNNNNNNNNNNNNNNNNNNNNNNNNNNNNNNNNNNNNNNNNNNNNNNNNNNNNNNNNNNNNNNNNNNNNNNNNNNNNNNNNNNNNNNNNNNNNNNNNNNNNNNNNNNNNNNNNNNNNNNNNNNNNNNNNNNNNNNNNNNNNNNNNNNNNNNNNNNNNNNNNNNNNNNNNNNNNNNUGUGGCUCACCGUGCGAACUAUGUAGACAAGAGUUGCUACGAUCUCAUAAUGAGCGAGAUUUAGCAUUUCCAGCGAUAAAGCAACAUAGAGUAGCAGAUCGCUCGCUGGCAAUUAUGUUGUGCCAAGGGCCCGAGGCCCACUAAGGGGUGCUUGUGUACUCUCCUUGCGACCUCGUCAUAUAGGGAAGGUCGAGCAACUUGUUUUUGGGAGGAUACAUGACUUGAGGACACCCCUCUAGCUUUUCAGUACCUUUCUCUUUAUAAUAUUAUUCAGUGCAAAGAAAAUUACGUUGCACCAUUCUAGGGGCCAAAUUCUGUUGAAUAUCCAGUUUAGAAAAACUCUGAUAAAUGAUAAGUGGUUUGUGUGGGUACAUUAUUUAGUACGAAGGUCGAUGUGUAACACCCUUACCAAUGCACCAGACACAUCUUACAUCUUACAUUCUUAAGAAGUUGAUACCAGGUCUCUCAACAUGCACCUUUUUUCAAGAAAAAGGUUCACAGAUUUGAAAAAAAGUUCAUCGAUUUGGAAAAAGUUCAUGGAUUUUUUUAAGUUCAGAUAUAACAAAAGUUCAUAAAUUAAAAAAACAAAAUCAAAAAAAAGUUCAUGGAUUUUCCAGAAAAAAGGUCCAUGAAUUUGAAAAUUUUCAUCGAAUUUGAAUAAACAUUUAUCAAAUUUCCAUAAAAAGUUCCUCGAUUUUAAGAAAAAGUCCAAAAAAUUUGAGAACUAGGAAGAAGGUAAAAGAAAAAAGGGAAAAGGAAAAAAAUAAGAUAGAAGAAAAGAUGGAAAAAUAUGUAAGUGAUCACUUCAGGUUAGGUGGCGGGGUGGUUAUUGCAGCGUUCUUGAUGCAUGAGGUCGCUGGUUCAAUUCGCUCCACAAGCACACUAUUUCCGAGUUAAAAAACGUAAAAUAAGAUAAAUAAAAGGUAGAUGGGUCAGCCCGGCGUGAAGUGGGGAUGUGCUCCCGUUUGCAGAGCGCCAAAUAGGAAAUGCCCCAAAACUGGGUGGAUGGUUAGCCAAUCCCCACCAUAAGUAAAACCGCCCGCGCACAGCUUAUUGGGCUGGCCCACCAUGUGAAUUAUGUAGACAAAAUUUGCGGUGAUAAAACAACAUAUAGUAGCAGAUCGCUCGCUGGCAGACCCGAGGCCCAUCAAUUGGCACUUGUGGACUCUCCAUGCUUGUCUUAGGACUAGGACGAAAGCUCGUCCUUACGGCCUCGUCAUAUUGAGGAUGGUCGAGCAACUCGUUUUUGGGAGGAUACAUGGCUUGGGACACGCCUCUAGUUUUUUAGUGCCCUUCUUUUUAUAAUAUUAUUUCAGUGUAAAGAAGAUUACAUCGCACUGUUUUGGGGGUCAAAUCUAUUGAAUAUCCAAUUCAGAAAAACUUUGAUAAAGGAUAAGUGGUUUGUGUGGGUACAUUAUUUAGUAGUACGAAGGUUGAUGCUUAACACCCUUACUAAUGUAUCGGACACAUUUUACAUCUUACAUUCUUAAGAACUCUAAUACCAAUUCUUUCAACAUGCACAUCGUCCACAUCAAUUUCAUGCCAUGUCAGCGUUCACAUGAGUCUAAAUCUUAACAUGCAUGAUGCCAUGUCAUCUUGCCAAUACCAGCGUACAAAACAGGCCGAGGACCGCUGCCAUCCCACACUCUUUCAAUGCGCGUGCAUGGUUUAAUCGACAGCCCAAGCAGUUUCACAACUACACCGCACGGUUGACUACAACACAGGCAGUACAUGCCAUCUAGCUUCUUUUUCUAACUAGAAAAGAGGAGAGGAACUAGUUAGCGGGUACUCCUUCGGGAGCCCCCACAAGGAUCACUUUGGCAGCGCGCAAGUGACGCGCUGUUAGGCGGCGUCACGUGUCGCGCUGCUACUUGUGAACUGCGUUGGGAUUUCCCCGAAGAAAAGAGGAUGAUGCAAUACACUAGAGAUAAAUAUUUCCCUCAAUUAAGAACCAAAGUUAUCAAUCUAGUAGGAGAACACAGCAACAACUCGUUAGUAGGGAGUUGACGGGACGGGAGGCGAAGGAGCACGAGGGAGCUUCGCGGGAGAAGCACAUCGGCGGAAAAAGAGCUCAACGAGGAUCCCGGAUCUGGUCGAGCUUGACGCAGGGACGACCAGAGGAGAGAGAUCAGGGCGGUGCCAUUGCGAGUUCGCCCGCGGUAAGCGCGUUCGCGAGAGCCAUCCCGGUACACAUCUAUUUUUGCCUCGCUAAGCUCCCUUUGUUUAAUGGUUUAGCAACUAAAUAUUUUAUGGAUUGGUGAGCUUGCCUAACUUAUUUUACCUAGGUUCGUGUGCUUAGUAUUGUUUCUUAUUUCUUUGAACACAGUACGGGCGCAAGAACUCAUAUAUACGAGUAUUUUCUUUUAUUGGCAUCAAACUCAUCUCUGUUCUCUUAAUUACCUUGUCACAUCAAUUUUUUUUGCCAUCAUGACUGAAAACGGAUCAACUAGCUAUGCAUGUGUCUGUAGGGGACCACACGUAACAAAGCAGGCAAGCCUGAGCGGCUGAGCACGCUGUGCACCCGAUAAACAAGAUGCUGCAGGCGGCCGACAAGCGCACUACAAUCAGUCGGCUGAAUCGUACCCUUUCCCAAAAGUAUCACCAAACAGGGGCCUAUAUCACCGGCAGUAGCCCGUUCACUUCGAUUUUGUGAAACAACAGCGAUGAGGCCAUCUACCGCUGCUCACAUUCUCACGGCCGCCGUCCUCUUGCUGGGCGGCGCGGGCGCGACCCCGGAGACGACGUGCAGCGCGGCGGCGGGCGCCGACAGGCGCGUGGACUACCACUUCUGCGUGUCAAGGCUGAGCCAGCACCACGACAGCCCCGACGCCGACACGUGGGGCCUGGCCAAGGUGGCCGCCGACGUAGGCGUCCUCCUCGCCGGCAACGGCGUCUACGACAUUAAGCACAUGCUCGCCAAGAAAGCGGCUGGGGGCAAGGUGCGUGCGCCGCUGGAGCGGUGCGAGGCGCUCUACGGCAGGAUGGGGUCCGCGUUCGCAGAGGCCUACGACGGGAUCGACAGGCGCGACUACGCGGCGGGGAAAGACAAGGCGCGCGAGGCCGCGCCUCUCAUGCGCCGGUGCGGCGAGGCCUUUGCCAGGGCCGGCGUCGUCCCGUCGCCGCUGGCGAGGCAGAGCGCGGACGCGGUGCAGAUGGCCAUCGUCUGCACAGCCAUCACCGGCCUCAUCCAGUGAACGAGCGAGCGGUGUUUCCUGUAUAAUGCUGCUUGCUCGGUCGACCGUCGUGUCAUGCACACAUGCACCUACACCUACGCUUGCAUGUGCGUCAGGCUGAUCGUUGAUACUAAAACGUUCUUCAGUGAUGUAGCGAUCGUUGAUAAUAAAAUGCUUUUGUAUCUCUUUCAUCUAAUUAAUGGAGUCGUUUGUUUCAUGAAAUCUCAACUUAAAGACAAUUCGGGCGCCAGAUGCCACGUACUAGUAGGAGUUAUGGAUAGAGAGGGGAACCGGGUGCGUGAAGGGUGUUGGCUGCUCACAACGGACUUACCAUAUACUCCCUCCGUCCCCAAAAAACUUGGUGCUCAAUUGUAUAUAUCUAGUACAGUACAAUAUUAGUAUUAUACAUAUAUAUGAUACUAGUGUAUGAUACUAUCUUCACAAGGCAUAAUAUUAUAGAUUGGUAUCAUGGUGACCUUAUUAUUGUCAUGCAUGAUACUCCCUCUGUCCAAAAAUACUUAUGGGUGAAAUGUAUAAAAAUAAAUAUAUCUAAACUAAAAUACGUCUAGAUACACCAAUCUCUCCGACAAGUAUAACAUCAUUUAAUAUGAUACAAUGUCAAAGAAAUAGGAUGAUACUAGUAUAGUGCUAGAUAUAUACCAUUUAAUAUGUAUCUGGCGGCCUGUCUCUCAAGUUGCUUAUAGAAAUAUGAUGUGUGUGUGCAUGUGUUCAUAGGGUUAGAGUAUGUACCUAAGCGUCUAUGUCUAUCUACACUCUGGCAAGGACAACCACACGUAAAAUGCAAGGAAGACACAUUACUGUGGCAUGGCACGUCCGGAUGCAGAAAAUAUCACGAUGCAUGACUAAUCACAGGAAAAGUGCUGUAGAAUAACUAGACCUAAUGACCUGCCUAGUGGACAUUUCACUAGGGUACCCAUCCAUCAAUCAAGGAAGAAAGAAUGGUAGGAUAGACAUUACGGCAAGCAAAGGAAAGCCCUUUUCUUGCCAGCGUCAAUAUCCGCGAGGGAAAGCUACGGCCAGAAUAUCGCAAGAUGCUUUUUAUUAUUGUAUGUAUCUAAAGAUCUCUUCUUUUUAAAUAUUAGAAUGAUACCUAUAGCCCAUUGGCAGCGUGAUGUAGUGUGAUGUGAUGGAGUUUGUUCUUAUCGGAUUGAUGAUUAACCAGUCCUAGAGAUUUACAUUGACAUGGCGAUUGUGAAUUCUCUUUCGUUAGUUCCAUACUGAUGAAAAAUAUCUGCUUACCAGGUGGAUAUAUGUGUUUGAAAUUAAUCAAAUUGUUUGAUUACCAGCAGGAUAUGGAAAUUAACCAGACUCUUUGUGAAUACAAUAAUUCUGCUAUUUUAAAAAAAAUCAGGACAUGAGCUCAAAAUCAGUGUGCACGAUCAUCUGUAAUGGGGUAGUGAAGGCAAAUUAGAUGAAACUGUUUCUGUUAUGGUGAUUGGAGAGUUACGGCAUGUACUUUCUGGUAACUCCCUUUUGAUUAUUUUCUACCGUUGAUUUUAACCUGGUAAUUAAAAAAUUAAGUUUAAUCAACAAGGGUAUUAUGGUCAUGUGUGAUUGUUGUUUUAGUACUCCUAACUCUGUCGAUAAUCUGGCCCGCAAAAAAAAAAUCUGUCAAUAAUCCCCGCAUCUGCCUAAGAGCAUCUUCACUCGUUAGGCCCCCAGGGGCUAGAAAUAGCGCAGCCCUGGGGGCGCGCCGGCUGAAAUAUCGGCUUGGGGGCGAUCUGGUUCCCAGCGGCUGCCCCCAUGCGCCGAUUUUGGCCCACUUUCGGCGCAAAUUGGCCCAUUUUUUGAGCCCAUUUUCAGUGCAAAUUGGCCCACUAUCGGCGCAAAUUGACCAAUUUUGGCCCGAUUCGGCAUACUUCGGCACAAUUUCAACAUAAAGCUAUUUAUAUCACAUAGUUCAUCACCGAAAAUCAAUAGAAAUCAAAUAGUUCAACAAAUAGUUCAAUACAAAUUAUAUAGUUCAACAAAUAAAAACUCAUAUUUCAUCACACGUCGAGCGAGGUGUUGCCCUUGAUCAGCCUCCAUAGGUGCUCCACCAGAUCCUGCUGCAGUUGUUGAUGCGCCAAUUGGUCUCGGAUCUCCUGACGCAUAUUGAGGAAGGCAGUCCAGGUUGCCAGUAGGUGGUGAUCAACUUGGGCUAGAGGACCCUGCCUGUAUGGUUCAGUAUCAAAAACUGGCUCUUCCUGCUCGGUCUCAAUGAUCAUGUUGUGCAAGAUGACACAACAAGUCAUGAUCUCCCACAUUUGAUCUUUCGACCAGGUCUGAGCGGGGUACCGGACAAUAGCAAAUCGAGAUUGGAGUGUUAGCUAGGAAACGUAGCAUGUAAUUUUAAAAGAUUUCCUAUGCUCACGCAAGAUCUAUCUAGGAGAUGCGUAGCAACGAGGGGAAAAGUGUGUCUACGUACCCUCGUAGACCGAAAGCGGAAGCGUUUUGACAACGCGAUUGAUGUAGUCAAACUUAAUUAUUCUAGAUCCGAUCGAUCAAGCACCGAACAUACGACACCUCCGAGUUCUGCACACAUUCAGCUCGAUGAUGUCCCUCGUCCUCUUGAUCCAGCAAGAUGUCCAGAAAGUAGAUGAGUUUCGUCAGCACGACGGCAUGGUGACUGUGAUGGUGAAGUGAUCCAUGCAGGGCUUUGCCUAAGCACUGCGAGAAUAUGACCGGGGGUGUAAACUAUGGAGGAGGGCGCCGCACACGGCUAACAAUUGAUCUUGUGUGUUCUAGGCGCCCCCUCCUCAUAUAUAUAGGUGGGAGGGAGAGGGAAGAGGCCAAGGGGCGCCCCAAGUGGGGCCGAAUCCCACUUGGGCUCCUGCCCUGGUUCGCCCCCCUUCCUUGUAUAGGCGCCAGGGGAAGGAAGGGGGAGGUGCCCCCCCUUUCCUUUCUCCCUUGAGGAGGGGAAGUAAGGAGGGACUUGCCCUCCCCCCUUUCCUUUCCCUAGGGCCGGCCGGCCUAGUGGAGGGGCGCACCAGCCCCUUGUGGGCUAGUCUGUCCCUCCCUUGGCCCAUUAAGACCAUAUCUUUGCCGGGGGUGCCCGGAACCCCUUCCUGUGACCCUAUAUGUACCCGGUACCCUCCGGAACACUUCCGGUGUCCGAAUACCAUCGUCCUAUAGAUCAAUUUUUACCUCUCGACCAUUUCGAGACUCCUCGUCAUGUCCGUGAUCUCAUCCGAGACUCCGAACAACAUUCGGUCACCAAAUCACAUAAAUCAUAUAAUACUAAAUCCUCAUCGAACGUUAAGCGUGCGGACCCUACGGGUUCGAGAACUAUGUAGACAUGACCGAGACACCUCUCCGGUCAAUAACCAAUAGCGGAACCUGGAUGCUCAUAUUGGCUCCUACAUAUUCUACGAAGAUCUUUAUCGGUCGAACCGUUAUGACAACAUACGUUAUUCCCUUUGUCCAUCGGUAUGUUACUUGCCCGAGAUUCGAUCAUCGGUAUCCACAUACCUAGUUCAAUCUCGUUACCGGCAAGUCUCUUUACUCAUUCCGUAAUACAUCAUCAUGUAACUAACUCAUUAGUUACUUUGCUUGCAAGGCUUCUCAUGAUGUGUAUUACCGAGAGGGCCCAGAGAUACCUCUCUGAUACUCAGAGUGACAAAUCCUAAUCUCGAUCUAUGCCAACCCAACAAACACCUUCGGAGAUACCUGUAGAGCGUCUUUAUAAUCACCCAGUUACGUUGUGACGUUUGUAGCACACAAGGUAUUCCUCGGGUAUCCGGGAGUUGCAUAAUCUCAUAGUCGAAGGAAUAUGUAUUUGACAUGAAGAAAGCAAUAGCAAUAAAACUGAACAAUCAAUAUGCUAAGCUAACAGAUGGGUCUUGUCUAUCAUAUGAUUCUCCUAAUGAUGUGAUCCCAUUCAUCAAAUGACAACACAUGUCUAUGGUUAGGAAACUUAACCAUCUUUGAUUAACGAGCUAGUCUAGUAGAGGCUUACUAGGGACACAGUGCUUUGUCUAUGUAUCCACACAUGCAUCAAGUUUCUGGUUAAUACAAUUCUAGCAUGAAUAAUAAACAUUUAUCAUGAUAUAAGAAAAUAUAAAAUAACAACUUUAUUAUUGCCUCUAGGGUAUAUUUCCUUCAUGGAGCACACCAAAUGCCCGCUCGAUAUCCUUCCUGCAAGCCUCCUGAACCUUCGCAAAGUGGGAGUUCUUGCCUCCUGGCACAGGGUUUGAGAUAGUCUUCACAAAUGUGGACCAUCUCGGAUAGAUGCCAUCUGCUAGGUAGUAUCCCUUAUUGUAGUGCUGCCCAUUGACCUCGAAGUUCACCGGAGGAGAAUGACCUUCAACAAGCUUGGCAAAGACAGUGGAGCACUGCAGUACGUUGAUGUCAUUGUGAGUUACUAGCAUACCAAAGAAGGAGUGCCAAAUUCAUAGGUCGUGUGUGGCCACUGCCUCAAGUACCACACUGCAACCGCUUUUGGCGCCUUUGUACAUUCCCUGCCAAGCAAAUGGAUAGUUUUUUCAUUUCCAAUGCAUGCAGUCGAUGCUUCCAAGCAUCCCUGGAAAUCCUCUAGCUGCAUUUUGUGCUAGGAUCCGACCAGUGACUUCAGCAUUGGGUGAUCGCAAGUAUUGCGGUCCAAACACUACCACCACUGCCCUGCAGAACUUGUAGAAACACUCAAUGGUCAUGAACUCGGCCGUGCGCCCAUAGUCUUCCCGUGAAUCACCGGGAGCUCCGUAUGAAAGCAUCCUCAUAGCUGUUGUGCACUUUUGGAGUGAGGUGAAUCCAAGUGUGCCGGUGCAAUCCUUCUUGCACUUGAAGUAGCUGUCGAACUCCCUGAUGGACUUGACAAUCCUGAGGAAGAUCUUUCGGCUCAUCCGAUAACGGCGCCGAAAUACUUUGUCGCCGUGCAGUGGAGCGUCGGCGAAGUAGUCGGAGUAGAUCAAUCAAUUGCCUUCUAGUUGAUGCCGGUUUUUUGCCUUCAUCCGGCCCGGUGCCGAGCCACCUCGCCGAGGCUUUGCAUUGCUCGCGAGCAGGCUGGCCAGGGCGGCGAGGACCAUGAGAUGCUCUUCAUCUUGGGCGUCGGAUUCGGCUUCCUCCUCCAGCAGCGCCUCGAGCGCCUCCUCGUCGUCCGAGUCCAUCGCCGAGCAAACAAAUCGCCAAACACCUGGCGGGCGUGGUAGACGCAGCCGCCAGUAUCCCACCCUGCGCGGCCGGAGCGCCGGAAAGCUCGCCCAGGGACGGGGUGGAGGAUGCCGCGGCGGGACCCUCUCUCUUUNNNNNNNNNNNNNNNNNNNNNNNNNNNNNNNNNNNNNNNNNNNNNNNNNNNNNNNNNNNNNNNNNNNNNNNNNNNNNNNNNNNNNNNNNNNNNNNNNNNNNNNNNNNNNNNNNNNNNNNNNNNNNNNNNNNNNNNNNNNNNNNNNNNNNNNNNNNNNNNNNNNNNNNNNNNNNNNNNNNNNNNNNNNNNNNNNNNNNNNNNNNNNNNNNNNNNNNNNNNNNNNNNNNNNNNNNNNNNNNNNNNNNNNNNNNNNNNNNNNNNNNNNNNNNNNNNNNNNNNNNNNNNNNNAAGAUGCGUUUUCGCCUGACAGUGGUGGCCGAAACGUGUUUUCCCUUCCGCCGGAGCCCCGCGGACGCCCCGAGUGCGCUGGGUUCGGCCUGGGAUCGCCGGGUGCGACUGGGUGAGCCGGCGGAUUUCGGCGUGUUGGGGUGCGACUGGGUGAUUUUUUCGGCGCUGGCGCUAAAAAAGUUGCCUGGGGGGUCUGUUGAGGACGCGAGUGGAGAUGCUUUAACCCAUCUCCCGAGAGUGAGGCGCCGGCGUGAGGACCUUGGCAACAACGCCGGCGUGAGGACCUGGAAGUGACGACGGCAACGCGAGGUCUAGGACGCGAAGCCCAGGCUGGGCUUGGUCGUAGUCGCCACUCCCCACGGCCACGCCGCCACCGCCGUGAGGUCCUGGAGGGGACGACGGCGCGAGGUCCUGGAGGCUCCGGCUUCCGGCUGCGUUUGGUCGUAGUGGUGGACCAGGGGUGCAAGGUAUCUCUUCCCCUGCGUUCAUCUCUUCCUUCCGUCUCUCCCUCCUUGCACCUUCUGCCGGCGGUGGAGCAACUGCUCAUUGCAGCACCUUCAAAUAAAGAUUCAGUAGCAGUUAGGGUUGGACAAACACUGGCCUCUGAAUUGCCUAUUGUUGAUUACAAAAUGUUGGUAACAUAGUAUCAUUUUGUCCAUCAGAAUUAGAAUGGCAUAGCCCUAGCAGAUAGUCACUACGGCGAAGUGUCCAUGCCAACAGUGCUAUAAAAGAGUCAAUCAUUAUGCUACUCUGUAAAUUUGUACAAGAAACCAUGUGUUCUUUAAUUAAAAUAUACAUCUAUCUUGUCCAUCAGGCUGCACAAUGUUGGUAAAGUAUCACAGCUUGAAAAAGCUUUUCUGGUGUGUGGUGCAUGCAAUUUGCCAUCAAGAUUAGGCUAGAAGUGCUAUUCAGACACAAUGUAGCAGCAAGAAAUAGGAAAAAUCAGAGCAUGUCUUCCUGACUAAGAAAAAGAAAACGAAAAAAGGAGCCAGGAAAUUUAGAAAAAAAUGUGCGAGUUACCAGCAUACCUCAUUACUUUCAAGUAGUCUGCUGGGGUACAACUGCAGAUAUACUGCACGUAGAUAACAAUGUUUUAUGUAAAUUUCGCCUGAUUUGUCUUGUGUAGUUGCAAUACUUCUGUUGUUUGUACACUUCCUAAAACAUGAGCUCCCCAAUCGCUCACAGCUGUUAGCUAGUGAGAAACAAUUUUUGAAACUUUGUAAGGAAAUUCAUCUCAGGCGAGGGGGUAUCAUACUCCCUUUGUACUAAACUUGAGACACUUAUUUUGGGACGGAGGGGGUAUUAUUUAACCUCCAUCAUUACACUAACAUAGCCAGAAAAGUUGGCAGCCUAAAAUUUACUAAAACUUAGGAUAAAUCUGCUGUUCCGGCCAUGGUUUUACAUAAACAGCGAGGAAAGCAGGCUUACAAAAUCAACAAACGAACCAGCAGUACAUGCACAAACCUCUUCGGUGACAGCCGGAACCCUAUCGGAUCGACGAGCCGGAGAAGAAGCGGACAGAGUGGAGGAGGACCCGGGCACGCCGGGCGAGAUGCCCCGCGGGCAAGCAGAACUGCAGAAGGACUUGCCGGAGUGAGCCCUCUGAAGAGGUUGGCCCCCUUUUCUAGCGCCCGCGCGAAGGCUAUCGCAGUGGCUGCGACGGCGGAGAGCGGCCGGAUCCAUGAGCGGGAGAGGAUGGGGAGGGAGCGAAGGAGGACCAGGGUCGCGCGCUAGAGGNNNNNNNNNNNNNNNNNNNNNNNNNNNNNNNNNNNNNNNNNNNNNNNNNNNNNNNNNNNNNNNNNNNNNNNNNNNNNNNNNNNNNNNNNNNNNNNNNNNNNNNNNNNNNNNNNNNNNNNNNNNNNNNNNNNNNNNNNNNNNNNNNNNNNNNNNNNNNNNNNNNNNNNNNNNNNNNNNNNNNNNNNNNNNNNNNNNNNNNNNNNNNNNNNNNNNNNNNNNNNNNNNNNNNNNNNNNNNNNNNNNNNNNNNNNNNNNNNNNNNNNNNNNNNNNNNNNNNNNNNNNNNNNNNNNNNNNNNNNNNNNNNNNNNNNNNNNNNNNNAGCGUAGGACAUGAGGAGAAAAGAUGAGAAGCUAAAGAUUUGGGGAGAGUGUGAGACAAGGGUUGAUUCUGACCAUGGUGAAAAUAAAGUAUCUACCAUUUUCAAAACAUAAAAAUAGAAUAUUACACCGACUGGCCCACCUAAUUUUCGUACCGGUCCCGCACGUAAUUGUACUUUUCAGUAAUUACAGUCUCGCAACUCCAUUUUUUCCUUCGUCGGAUUGAGGUGGAUGGACAGCUCCUGACGACGGCGACGGCAAACUCCACUACAAUAUUCGGAUGAAGUACCGACGCCCUCACACGACAGCGAAGACAUGUCCCAUAGGAAGCUAUAGGCUGUAGCCGAUGGAUUAGUGUCAGCUUGUAUGAGUAAACUGUAUCUGUAUUUACAGCUAAUGGAAUGGUAGAGUGUGUGAUGCUUUCACCUGUUUCUGUUCAUUUCUCAAUGGUUUGGAAAUCUUAAGGAAUUUUAUUGUAUUCAUGGUUUGAUACUAUCCCCUCGUCAUUUUUUCGUAGGUAACCACAAGAUUCUUUUUGUCUGUGUAGCGGAUGCAUUGCCAUGAUAGAUUUGUGCCGCAUGGCUGACAACCGAUACCAGCUUAUAACACUUCUACCUCAAUUCUCUCAAUGUGCCAUCUUGUUCAUUUUGCGUAUGAAUAUAUACAGUUGUGCAAAAACUUAGUUUCUUACCGUUUGAUUCUUAAAGUCUGAAACAUCGUUGCAUUCAUAUAUUCAGAUACUAUGGCAACUGCAGUUCUUUACAGGAUACUGGUAACUGCAUUGUGUUGUGUUAUGUCUAAUUCAGGCAUGAGAAUAAACAUUGCAACUGCAAGCAUUCUCAUCAUCUAAACUUCUGAAUUUCAGCAACAUACUUGACCAUCCAGGUUGUCAUAAAGCGUUUAUUGAGAUGCCUGACAUACUGCCACUAACCCACUACACAUCACAUCCUUACAUACAAAUCACAAUUUUAAUCAUGUUUCCAUAGUUGGUAGAAAAACCUGAAGUACAUAAAGGCUUCCUGAUACAAAAAGUUGUCCAAGCAAAGAAUGAUUGUAUCUAUGUUAUCAUGUACACUUUGAUGUACUGAAUUCAUGUAAUGGAUGAGAAUUUGUGUUAUGUCAAAUUAAAUUUGGCUUGAUUUCUGACAAGUUUGAUGCAUGUCAAAUUUCUGAACAUAUUUAAUCAUGAUUAAAUUUCUGGUUUCUCGAUAACUUGUAAUGCUGUGUAGUGGCAAUACAUGCAUGUUUGUUGCCUCUUUAUUUUUGGUCAGACCUUCAUCAUCCAGGAGCACACAAUAAAGUUUGUAGAUGUUUAGGAAACUUAUGAUAGUGACUUUUGCUUAUACCUUUGAUCUCAAAACUGGACAUAGCCAUCCCAGGCCACUUAUGCAGUUCAAAAGCUUUAUAGAAUAAUAUAUGUUUUGACCACAUGACUGAGAAAGUCACUUAUUUUUCCAACCCAUAAACUGAAUUAGUAACUGAAUUUUUUGAUAACAGCAAAGCGGAUACUUCUUGCCAAAUGCCAAGCCAUUGUCAUUGUCAUUCAUUGUACUACAAUAUUGAUACACUCUGCAGAUAUGAGCAUUCGCACUAGUAGUGUGCGUGUCACUUGGCUGAAUACGGAAGGACGAUAUUUGCACUUGUACAUCUGCUACAACCUACAUCUUUCUCUAGACAAGAGGCUACAACUGAAUCAUUGCCAACGACGAAGGCCAUCCAGGGGGGAUGGCGCCUCCUCUGAGACGCUUCGUCACUACCGCAGAGCGUCAUGGCUUCGCCGCCAAGACGAUCAUCGGGUACCCAUUGUCGCGGCUACUUGUAGGACUUCCAGGGAAUCUUCCAGUCCAUGGUUGGCUGGUUGCUGUCGUAGGAGCCCUCCGGGGUUGGGAUUUGAUUCGGGAGCCGAUGCGACUGAUUUGGCAAGGACGAUCUGGGGAAGGACGCACGACUCGAGGCCUUGGGUUGGGAUCUUGGAUCACAAGCUUUAGGGGGGUAAAUAUUUACAAAGAGGGCAGGUAAAUGUAAAUAUUUGCUUGAUUACACGUGAGACAUUGGAUUUAAAUCGUGGGGCUGAAAACGAAGAGAUACGCGGAUAGACGACACAUCUCGGAUUCACAGGAUAUGUUGCAUAUAUGUAGACAAACACUAGUAGGUAGGUAUAGAUAUAGAUAGAUAUAACGAUAAAGGUAAAGAUAGGCACAAUCACUGUAUGGCUGAUUUCCUGUGGGGCGUUUGUGCCUGCCUGGACGUGGCAUAUGCCCAUGGAAAACCAAUGCAUACAUUGAACGUUGAAUAACUAUUAAAUUGAAUGAUUAGCUUCAUGCACGCAACUUAACUUAUUGAGUAAUUGUUUAAUCUUGCAGUCACGACUUCAACGUGAGUUUAGUAGUCAUGUACAAAAAAGGGACAUUUUUUCGACCUGAUGAUAUUGGAUAUUAGGUAGGAUUUUUCAUGGCUUGAUGCAGCCGUGGGCACUACCAAUAUAUAUAACGGGUGUUGGAGGACUACAACAAAACCGACAUUGAAUAUGGUUUCUUUGUUAAACAUGGCUUUGUUAUUAACAAAUAAAUGAUCCAUCGUCAUCACAAGGUCCCCAUGUUUGGCCACCGUUUCUGCGUGCGGCUGCAAAAUAAGAGGACGUAGGACAUUUCUAGAAGUUCUUGAUGGCAGCCGUGUCCACUGCCAAUAUAUAAAAUAGGUGUUGAAGGACUACAACAAAACCAACAUUGACUGUGGUUUUCUUGUGAAACACGCCUCUAUUAUUAACAAUAAACGAUCCAUUGCCAUCACAAGGUUCACAAGGUCACCGUGUUUGGCCAUCGUUUCUUCGUGCGCCUGCAAAAUCAGAGGAUGUGGGACAUCUAUUUUCUACAUGAUGAUAUUGGACAUUAGGUAGGACUUUUGAUGGGUUGAUGCACAAAUUCUUGAUGACAGCCGUGGCCACUACCAAUAUAGAAAAUAAGUGCCGGAGGACUACAACAAAACCAACAUCAACUGCGCUUUUCUUGUUAAACAAGACUGUAAUUAACAAUAAACGAUCCAUUGUCAUCAUAAGGUCACCAUGUUUGGCCACCAUUUCUUCGUGCGCCUGCAAAAUCAGAGCCUAUAAGACAUUUUUAGAACUUCUUGUCGGCAGCCGUGGCCACUACCAAUAUAUAAAACUGGUGCUAGAGGACUACAACAAAACAAAUAUUGACUGUGGUUUUCUUGUUAAACACGGCUCUGUUAUUAACAACAAAUGAUCCAUCGCCAUCACAAGGUCACCAUGCUUGGCCACCGUUUCUGCGUGUGCCUGCAAAAUUAGAGGCUGUAUGACAUUUUUUUUCUACAUGAUGAUAUUGGACAUUAGGUAGGAAUUUUGAUGGGCUGAUACACAAGUUCUUGACGGCAGCCAUGGCCACUACAAAUAUAUAAAACAUGUGCUGGAGGACUACAACAAAACCAAUAUUGAUUGUGAUUUUCUUAUUAAACACAUAUCUCUUAUUAACAAUAAACGAUCCAUCGCCAUCACAAGGUCACCAUCUUUGGCCAUAGUUUCUUCGAGCACCUGCAAAAUCAGAGGCUAUUGGGCAUUUUUAGAAUUUCUUGUCGGCAGUCGUGGCCACUGCCAAUAUAUAAAACUAGUGCUGGAGGACUACAACAAAACCAACAUUGACUGUGUUUUUCUUGUUACACAACUAUGUUAUUAACAAUAAACGACCCAUCACCAUCACAAGGUCACUAUGUUUGGCCACCGUUUCUACGUGCACCUGCAAAAUCGGACGCUAUAGGAUUUCUUUUUGCUACAUGAUGAUAUUGGACAUUAGGUAGGACUUUGAUGGGUUGAUGCACAAGUUCUUGAUGGCAGCAGUGGCCACCACCAAUAUAUAAAACAGGUGCUGGGGUACUACAACAAAACAAACAUCGACUGUGGUUUUCAUGUUAAACAGGGCUCUGUUAUUAAAAAUAAACGAUCCAUCGCCAUCACAUGGUCGCCAUUUUUUGCCACCGUUUCAUGUGCACCUGCAAAAUCAAAGGUUAUAGGACAUUUUUUCGACGUGAUGAUAUUAGACAUUAGGGAUUUUGAUGGGUUGAUGUAGAAAUUCUUGAUGGCAGCGGUGGCCACUACCAAUCAAAGAGGUGCCGGAGGACUAUAAAAAUUCAUCAUUGCCAAUGGUUUCCUUGUUAAACACAUCUCUAUUAUUAAUGGUAAAUGAUCCAUCAUCAUCACAAGGUCACCAUGUUUGGCCAUCGUUUCUACGCGUGCCUACAUAAUCAGAUGUUGUCAGACAUUUUUUUUCUAUAACAUGAUAUUAGAAAUUAGGACUUUUGAUGGGUUGAUGCAUGAAUUCUUAUCGGCAGGCGUGGCCACUACCAAUAAAAGAGGUGCAAGAAGACUACAACAAAAUCAACAUUACCAGUGGUUUCCUUGUUAAACACGGCUCUGUUAUUAACAAUAAACGAUCCAUCGCCAUCACAAGGUCACCAUGUUUGGCCACCGUUUCUGUGUGUGCCUGCAAAAUCAGAUGCUAUAGUACUUCUUUUUCUACAAGAUGAUAUUAGACAUUAGGACUUUUGAUGGUUUAAUGCAGAAAUUCUUGACGGAAUCCUUGGCUACUACCAAUAAAACUGGUGCUGGAGGACAACAACAAAAUCAACAUUGCUAGUGGUUUCAUUGUUAAACUCGGCUCUGUUAUUAACAAUAAAUGAUCCAUUGCCAUCACAUGUUCACCAUUUUUGGCUAUUAUUUUAGCGUGCGCCUGCAAAAUCAGAUGUUGUAGGACAUUUUUCUCUAGCUGAUGACAUUGAAUAUUAGGACUUCUGAUGGGUUGAUUUAGAAAUUCUUGAAGGUAGCCAUUGUUGGAAAUAUGCCCUAGAGGCAAUAAUAAAAUGGUUAUUAUAUUUCCUUGUUCAUGAUACACUAUUAGAGAAAAGUUCACCAGUAGUGCUAGUUUUUGUGCUACCAGUAGCGCGGGCACCAGCGCUACUGCUACGUCGCUACAACUAUUUUGUAGCAGUAGCGCGUUUUUAGGCCAGCGCUACUGGUAAGUUCAAGUACUAGUAACGCGUUUUUAGCCAGUGCUAUUGCUAACAUUGAUGUUUUUUUAGCAUUUUGGCGAUGUACAUGUUUAAACAGAUAUAUCUUUUAUACAAUAACAACUCAUCAUGAACUAGUCUGUUUAAAUAGCAUCUUCAUUACCACUUGUCAUCACCACCAAACAAUGUUCGUCAAUGAGACAUCAUAUAACAAGUUGGUCACUAGUCAUAAUCAUAACCCCUCCUCAUCAUCAUCAACUCUAACACAUUGUAGCACAUAAAUACACAUUCUAGCUACGACCUACUCCUCUCAUAGGACCUACUCUACCCUCUCUUAGGUAAAAUAUCAUAAAACAAGAUAGACAUUGACUCUCCAUUAAGAAAAAAUGACUCUCCAUAAUAAAGAACGGAGAUCAUCCUGUCUCCAAGUCUUGGCCUAAGCACAAUGUUGCUUCCAAGUAGCUCUCUACGAUGGUUCAAACAUUUUUUGAAAUCAUUUAUUAUCAUGGCUUCCUCGCUCAUAGAAAUCCGGUAUGGACAUGAGUGAUGUGGAUACUGCGGCUGACCUGGCCGUGGUGGCCGUAAGCUCAUAACAUUAACGCGACCUCUCGGCAACAUCAGAUGAGGCACACAAUCCAUCGGGAUUUUCUGUUAAAAAACAUAGUAAUAACUUUGUAGUUAGCAAUGUAGUUUAGUUUUAGAAGAAUUUAUGCAAAAGACGCACGGAUGUCGUAAUAGUAGAAAAUCUUACCAUGAUAUCUCCAUUGAUGUUACCGUAGUUCAACACGUGCACUAGUGGCACGUAUUGACUAUAAUGUGGAGGAGUUUGAUAAUAGCUAUUGUAAUUCUCAAGAUUAGUAAAAAAUGUGAUAAGACCAUCUUGCUCCUUAUAAGUUAAUUGUGCUUCAUCAUUGUAGUAGUAGGUUCUGUCUACCAUUUUCCGUACAUUUUUUGAAGAAUGAAAAUAAGCUGUCAAAUAUUUUGAAAUAAACAAUAUAAAUUACUUAGUAAAUAUGUUUAAGAAACUCACACAGCGGUAGAACUGGAAGCGUGUCAACAAGGACCCAAAUGGUCAUAUCAUUUUCGUCGAUGUCAUGAUCACCAAGAUCGAAGGUGAGAAGCAUACCCUCAUGAAAAUCAUACGCCUUGCAAAGGGCUUCCCAAUUCAGGCAACCAAAAUUGGAUGAGUUCACAAAAUUGUAUAGAUUUACAGCAAAAUCAUAACCAUGAUGGGUCCUUAGUUGAAUUAUCUUUGUCUCCAUUCUUUCAUGAUCUUCAAAAUCCAUCUUCUGCAAGACAUAGCGUAUUGCAUGGCAUGGGAUAAGCUAGUCGAAUUGUAAAAGACGGAAAUUACACGUUGAAGAAGCAGAGAAGUCGUGCAAAAAAUAACAAAAAACACUUGUCGUCGCUGCAUACCGUUUCAACAUCGAAGGUCUCUUGGAGCUUGAUGCUGAAGCGCCGACCUUCUACCAGGUGAGGCCUGUCGCACAGACCGCGCUCAUCUUCGCAGUACUCGCACAUAGCGAAUUCCCUUUCAUCGUCAGACAUUUCCUAAUAGGUAAUUAAUAAUCCAUCAUCGAAUACAUAUAUAGUAGUUUGUAGCAAAGAUCAUCAUAUAACAACUAAAACACCUAAAAUUUAUAGUUUGUAGUAGUUUGUAGCAAAGAUCAUCAUAUAAUCCAUCAUGAAUACAUAUAUAGUAGUUUGUAGCACAAACCGCGCUCAUCUUUUGCAUUCAAUAAGCAAAUAACUAAUAGGUAAUUAAUAAUCCAUCAUCGAAUACAUAUAUAGUAGUUUGUAGCAAAGAUCAUCAUAUAAUAUCACUAAUACAUCUCGAAUAAUAGCUCCCCUAGGUUCAGUGGGCCGCGGUGGACACCCAAAGAGAAGGAACCAUCACCGGAUCAUAGCUCCGGUGAGAUGCCCAAAGAAUCUGCCAGGUAUUGGAGAACCGGCCAUUCGCUAACGCAACCAAGUAGCGCUGGACGUGCGCGUUCUCCUCCAUGACACGGUGCUGUACCACCUGCGCGGGGGACUCAAGCCUCUCCACCGAUGCAGGCCCACGUGACCACCACCAAAGAAGCUUCGGGUCGACGACGGGCUGGCUCCUCACUAAGGUGCGCUCACCAGAAGGUAGCACAACCCAGUACCAGCCCGGCGGAGCCCAGUCCCGGACAUGGCCCCUCGGCUCAACCAGGAGUCCUCCGCCGAGUCGACGACGAGGAUGCGGGAUAGGCAUCGUCGACGUCGAGAACAAAAUGCUUAAUUAUGAAAACAAAAUUAAUAAACACUUAGCAAAAUUUGGCAUGACCUUUGCUAAAAACAGGACAUAUCGAGCGCCUAAAAUUUGCCAGAACGUAAACGAAUCAACAUUUCUGGCAAAACAUAGGCCACUCGGAAAAAUAUGACAUGUCCAAAAUGUGACAUGUUCAAAAUAUGACAUGUCCACUGCAAAUUUGCAUAUAACAGGAAAAUUGCUUUAACUAAAAAAAAUAACAACAAUUGCUUUAACUAAAAAAAUACCUAGAAUUCUGUUAACUACACCUAAAACAACUAAAACACCUAAACUUCUUUUAACUACACAUAAAACAACUAAAACACCUAAAACUCUUUUAAAUACACUUAAAACACCUAAAUUCUAUUAACUACAUCUAAUUAAAAACCUAGCUAAAUUUUUGUCCUAACUUUAAAACCAGGUAAAUUUAAAAACCUAGGGUUCAUACGAAAUAACUAGGGUUCAUACCUAAUCUGUCCUAGCUAGGGUUCGAUCGUAACCGACAUUAUUCUGAUAACCUACAUUUUUUCAACUACAUAGCAUUCAAAAUAACUACUCUAAUAACUAUAACUAGGGAAGGAGGGAGGAGGAGGAAGGAAGGAGGAGUACCUCUCGGUGGAUGAGGGCCGGCGCGGGAGGAGAGCCGGCGUGGGGGCCGGGGCGGAGAAGGAGGCCGACGCGGGGGAGCUGGGUGGCCGGCGGGGAGGAGGGCCGACGCGGGCGAGGGCGGCCGACGCAGGGAGGAGGGCCGGCGCGGGGGACGGUAGCGUGCGGGGGUCGACGGCGGCGCGCGGGGGAUCUAGGGAGGAGUGUGGAGUGUGAGUGAGAGUGAUGAGGCCGGGCCGGGGGCGCGCGGGGGGAGGUAGUGGGCUUAACAUCAGCGCGGGGAAUGGGCCGACGCUACUGCUAAGCCCACUAGCUGUAGUGCUGGUUGGGCGACAAGCGUUGCUAAUAUUUAUUGAUCAAAUAUUGUGGUGUGUUACACUUAGCAGUAGCGUUGGUUUAGAUGACAAGCGCUGCUGCUAACUGAUACCAGUAGCGCUCUUUCUAGCCAGCGCUACUACUAACUACUAGUAGCGUGGGGUCAUAAACAAACGCUACUGGUAAACUUCUAUCUAUAAGCGUUUUCCUAGUAGUGAUAAUUGUCUAUUGUUCAUGCUAUAAUUGUAUUAAUCGGAAACCGUAAUACAUGUGUGAAUACAUAGAUCACAACAUGUUCCUAGUGAGCCUCUAGUUGACUAGCUCGUUGAUCAAUAGAUGGUUAUGGUUUCCUAACCAUGGACAUUGGAUGUCGUUGAUAACAGGAUCACAUCAUUAGGAGAAUGAUGUGAUGUACAAGACCCAAUCCUAAGCAUAGCACAAGAUCAUGUAGUUCGUUUGCUAGAGCUUUUCUAAUGUGAAGUAUCAUUUCCUUAGACCAUGAGAUUGUGCAACUCCCGGAUGCCGUAGGAAUGCUUUGGGUGUAUGAAACGUCACAACGUAACUGGGUGACUAUAAAGGUGCACUACAGGUAUCUCCGAAAGUGUCUGUUGGGUUGGUAUGAAUCGAGACUGGGAUUUGUCACUCCGUAUGACGGAGAGGUAUCUCUGGGCCCACUCGGUAAUGCAUCCGUAAUGAGCUCAAUGUGACUAAGGAGUUAGCCACGUGAUCAUGUGUUACGAAACGAGUAAAGAUACUUGCCGGUAACGAGAUUGAACAAGGUAUGGGGAUACCGACGAUCGAAUCUCGGGAAAGUAACAUACCGAUGGACAAAGGGAAUUGUAUACGGGAUUGAUUGAAUCCCUGACAUCGUGGUUCAUCCGAUUAGAGAUCAUUGUGGAACAUGUGGGAGCCAAUAUGGGUAUCUAGAUCCUGCUAUUGGUUAUUGGCCAGAGAGGUGUCUCGGUCAUGUUUGCAUGGUUCCUGAACCCGUAGGGUCUACACACUUAAGGUUCGGUGACGCUAGAGUUGUAACGGGAAAUUGUAUGUGGUUACAGAAGGUUGUUUGGAGUCCCAGAUGAGAUCCUGGACGUCACGAGGAGUUCCAGAGGUAAAGAUUUAUAUAUGGGCAGUCUAGUUUCAGCCGCCGGAAGAGUUUCGGGGGUCAUCAGUAUUGUACCGGGACCACCAAAAGGGUUCCGGGGUCCAUCGGGUGGGGCCACCUGCCCCGGAGGGCCUAGUGGGCUGAAUAUGGGUGGGGACCAGUCCCUUAGUGGGCUGGUACACCCCCAAGGGCCCAAUGCGCCUAGGGUUGGAAACCCUAGGGGAUGGGGGCGCCUCCCACCUGCUUAGGGGGCAAGUCCCCCCUCCUGGCCGCCGCCCCCUCUAGAUGCAUCUAAGGGGGCCGGCCCCCUCUCCCCUUCACCCUUUAAUUAGAGGGGGGGGGGAGGGCAGCCGCACCCUUCCCCUGGCGCAGCCCUCCCCCCUCCUAGUGUUGGGUUAUGUAGUAUUUUUAAAAAAAUCCUACGAUCACGCAAGAUCUAUCUAGGAGAAGCAUAGCAACGAGCGAGGAGAGUGUGUCCACGUACCCUCGUAGACCGAAAGCGGAAGCGUUUAGUAACGCGGUUGAUGUAGUCGAACGUCUUCGCGAUCCAACCGAUCCAAGUACCGAACGCACGGCACCUCCGCGAUCUGCACACGUUCAGCUCGGUGACGUCCCUCGAACUCUUGAUCUAGUUGAGGCCGAGGGAGAGUUUCGUUAGCACGACGGCGUGGUGACGGUGAUGAUGAAGUUACCGGCAUAGGGCUUCGCCUAAGCACUAUGACGAUAUGACCGAGGUGUAAAACUGUGGAGGGGGCACCGCACACGGCUAAAGAUCAACUUGUGUGUCUAUGGGGUGCCCCCUCCCCCGUAUAUAAAGGAGGGAAGGAGGAGGCCGGCCGCCCCCUAGAGGCGCGCCCCAAGGAGUGGAGUCCUACUAGGACUCCAAGUCCUAGUAGGAUUCCACUUGCUGGAAGGGGGGAAGACGGAAGGAGAGGGAACGAGGGGUCGUGCCCCCUUCCCCUAGUCCUACUCAGACUCCCCUUGGGGGGGGGGGGGCGCCACCUCCUGGCUGCUGCCCUCUCACUCCCCUAAGGCCCACUAAGGCCCAUUACUUCCCCGGAGGGUUCUGGUAACCCCUCCGGCACUCCGGUUUUAUCCGAAACUAUCCGGAACACUUCCGGUGUCCGAAUAACAUGGUCCAAUAUAUCAAUCUUUAUGUCUCGCCCAUUUCGAGACUCCUUGUCAUGUCCAUGAUCUCAUCCGGGACUCCAAACAACCUUCGGUACAUCAAAUCACAUAACUCAUAAUACAAAUCGUCAUCAAACGUUAAGCGUGCAGACCCUACAGUUUCGAGAACUAUGUCACUACAAAAAAUAGACACAUCCGUGACAUUUUGGGCCGAACGGAAAUUUUUUCUGUCAUACAUAUGACACUUCUAUGAUGAUAAUUGUGACAAAACCCGGUAUCAUCAUAGAUGUGGUGGGCUCCUACUUCUAUGACAAAAAAUCAUGACAGAAAAUGGGCUUUUCCUGGGCGGGCCGGAGACGCAGCUGCAUGACAUUCUUUGGGCCGUCCAUGACGGAAAAAACCAUGGUAGAAGCAAGGGCGAGGAAAAUUUUGAGGAGUUCCCGGUUACGGUGGGAGGUCGGGGGCUGAGCGAUGCGCGUUUCUCUCGUACACGUACGCGCGUGUGUGCGAGGCGUUGGCUCUAACUGAACCCGAGCGAGGCGUUGGGCUCUAACUGAACCCGAGCGAUUGCACCGCAGGCUACGCGUUACUGAACCCGAGCGAUCGAUCGGUGGCUGUUAACUGAACCCGGUCGAGCGAUUCCUUCGCUACUGCUGCUAACUGAAGCCGAUCGAUGCUGCCUCUGGAUGAACAGUGAGUGUUGCUGGGGGGUUUGGAUGAACAGUUCCCGGUGGGGGUGGAUGAACAGGACCCCGAUCGAUCGAGCCGGUUGGGGCUGGAUGAACAGGACCCCGUGGAGGGCAGGAUGAACAGGACCACCCCGUGGAGGGCAGGAUGAACAGUAGACGGUGGAGGGCUGGAUGAACAGUAGCCCGUGGAGGGGUGGUUGAACAGGAGCCCGUGGAGAGGGCUGGUUGAACAGUAGCCGGUGGAGUAGCACGUGGUGGAGGCUGGAUGAACAGGAGCCCGUGGAUGAACAGUCGCAGGUGGAGGCUGGAGGAGGUCGACAGUGGAUGAACAGUAGCCCGUGGAGGUUGGAGGGGGUCGACGGUGGAGAUGAACAGUAUCCCGUGGAGUCCCGUUUUGCGGUACGCCACACCCCUCCCGAUGAACAGGACCCCGUUUCGACCGUAGCGCUCCAACACAAGUCCGUUUCCUCCGUUUUGCGGUACGCCACACCCCUCCCGAUCAACAGGACCCCCGUUUCAACCGUAGGAGGUCUGUUUCCUCCGUUUUGCAGUACGACAGACCCCUCCCGAUGAACAGGAUCCCGUUUCAAACGUGGCCGGUCGAACACAAGGCCGUUUCCUCCGUUCUGCGGUACGCCAGGCCUCGUUUCCAUCGGCUGUUCCGUCCAAGCCCUCCCGAUGAACACGACGACGCAUUCCGUUCCGACCCAGCCGGUUGGCUCCCCAUGAACACGAUGACGACGCUGUUUCUCCGUUCGGACCCAGCCAUGUACACGAGCCCUGGCCGUACGUAUGCGCGAGUAGGCGUUCGAGACCCUGCCCGUAUGUACGUACGAGGCUGCCGUCGCCGCAGGGCCUGACCAGUGGUGGGAAUAGUAGGGGGCGGUGAGGCCUCCGCGGUAGCACAACCGGCCACGGGAGGCAGGAGCAUGCGGCACGACCGGCGCUGCUUUGGGCGGCUGGAGCAAGAAGACCAGAGGUUGAAGAAGCAUUACGGCCGUUGGAUGGACAUCAUACGAUCACUGGAGCUAGAAUUGUUCAUAUUGACUAAAGUUGACAAAGGCCCCCGUCCCAGUCAACUUAGUAGGCCCACAAGUCAGCCUCCCACCAUGGUGGGUCCCAGCUAGCAGGGGGAGUAUUCAUUUUUUGUGCGUAAUAAGGAGGCACUUCCUUGCGUGCGAAGAUAUAGCUGGUGGGUCCGAGCUGUCAGCGGUGGUAACGUUUUUUUUACGAAAUACAGAGGCCCUUUCGGUGGGUCCCUGAUGUCAGGUGGAUGAAUCAUUAUUUUGCGCGUAAUAAGGAGGCAUUUCCUUGCGUGCGGCCGUGGACCCAGCUGUCAGCCUCUCCACGUACAGUCCACUUCAGAUGCAUGUCGGUCGUUGACCAUGUUGACCAGGCCGCGCCGAGAGCACCAGGGCGGUGGACGACGGCGAGGCCUAGGAAGGGAACGACACGGAGGCAGGGAAGACUCGGCAGUUGUUUCCCAAGCGGAGGGGAGUACGACUGUACGAGGGUUUACUGGUUCGUCUACCGUCGCCUGAGAAUAACAGCAGGUGUGUGUGAGUAGAGGGAUGGCUAGGCCAGCGAUGGGAGUACGGUGGGGCGGUGAGGCCUGCGCGGCAGCAGAGCCGGCCACGGGGAGGAGGGAGCAGGAAGUCCCGCCGGCGCUUGUUUGAGCGGCUGGAGCAGGAAGAGCAGAGAUUGAAGAAGCACGACGGCCGUUGGAUGGACAUCCAACAGUGAGUGCUUGUGCGUCAACCUUUUUUUUUAGGAAAGCCUCAAAUAUGUGGAAAACAGCAUACAGCCCAUCUGCCAUUAUCUCUAAUAAUUUAUAGCCCAUUUGCUAAUUAUUAAGGUUUUUUUGGAGCCCAUAUUCUUUUUGUUAGCAUUACAGGCCAUAUUGUGGCCACGGUUAAAAAAUUAUACGAAAUUUUGCAUAUUUCGGUGCGGUCCGAACUGUUUUUAAUCCCGAAAUUUCGACUCACAUUCAAACUGAUUUUAAAAAUAAAUGUAUAUCAAUAUAAAAUCCAACAAAUUCUCCACGCAUAAAAAUUAAUGUAAUUUAAAAUCUCGAAAUGAAAAAAAAGAUAUUUGAAACUAAUUGCCGGUUUGAUGUGUUUUAAAAAUGUACAACCCAUUUCUCAUUACUGAUGGGCCAUUUUCUCGGCCAGCCGAAUGAAAGCUUUCCUCGUCUUGAAAGAUUUGCAGCCCAACAGGCCUGACAAAGCGACUUACUUGGCAAAUAACAAAAAAACUUGGCUGUGGCCGUCGACCCAGCUGUCAGCCUCUCCACGUACAGUACUCUUCCGAUGGAAUGUCGUUGACCACGUUGACCACGCCGCGCCGAGAGCACCAAGGCGGUGGACGACGGUGAGGCCUAGGAAGGGGACGACGCGGAGCCGGGGAAGACGCGGCAGUGGAUGCCCACGCGGAGAGGAGUACGAGGGCUCACUGGUUCGGCUGCGGUGUGAGGCUGCCGUCGCCGCAGGGCCUGGCUAGCGGUGGGAGUAGUAGGGGGCGAUGAGGCCUCAAUGGCAGCAUAGCCGGCCACUGGAGGCAGGAGCAGGCGGUCUCUCCGGCGCUGGUUUGGGUGGCUGGUGCAAGAAGAGCAGCGAUUGAAGAAGCAGCAGGACCGUUCGAUUCAAAUCCAACGGUUACUGCUGCUAGAAUCGUUUGUUGACUAAGUUGACAAGCCCUGCGUACGCGUCAACUUAGUAGGCCCACAGGUCAGCCUCCCAACCGGUGCGCCCCAGAUGUCAGUGGGAGGAAUCAUUUUUUUGCGUAAUAAGGAGGCAGUUGAUUGCGUGCGGCCAGGCCAGCGGAGGAGUAGGGUGGGCCGGGGAAGCCUGCGCGGCAUCACAGCGGGCCACAAGAGGAGGGAGCAGGCAGUCCCGCCGGCGCUAGUUUAGGCGGCUGGAGCAGGAAGAUCAGAGAUUGAAGAAGCACGUCGGCCGUUGGAUGGACAUCCAACAGUCAUUGCUGCUAGAAUCGUGUGUUCACUGACAAAGCCUUGCGUAAACAAGUCAGCCUCGAAAUCUAUGGCGUGUACAGCCCAUUUGUAUUAUGUUUAUAAUUUUUACUCAUUUUCUAAUUCAUAUGGAAUUUAUUGCAGCCCGUUUUCCAUUUUUAGAAUUGCUGGCCAUUUUCUGGUCAGUACCAGGGGUCAAAAAAUUAACUAAAUAUGUGGGAAAUUUUGAAAAUUCACAAAUUUUUGCUGGGGAGCGAAAUAUUCUUAAUCCAAAAAUUAAUAGCCAUACUAAAACAAAUUUAAAAAUAAAUUAGUACUAUGUCAUGUUAAAUCCAAUGAAAUACGUAUAAGAUAUCAGUGAAGAACAAAAACAAAAAAAGAAACUUAUAUCCCAUUUGCUAUAAUUUUUUUGGAAUUUUCAACCCCUUUUGAUAUUACUUUUAACAGACAUUGACCAUACUCUUAAGCCAGGACGGAAUGCAUCCCUCCUCGUCUUGAAAGAUUUGCAGCCCAGUAAUUCGGAGAAAACAAAUAGGCCUAGCUUGGGUAUUCUUCAAAAAGAAAUACUAGGCUACCUAUUUUCCCAAAGAACUGGUGCAUGAGCAUUUAGCUUUAUUUAUUUAUUUACUUACUUAUUUAUGUUUACGGGACCAUGAGCAUGUACCUGGGCCAGAUUCAUGUGAGAGCCUCCCUUCCAGUUAAUUAUGGGCUUCUCUAUUGGGCCUUCAUCAGUGGGCUGCAUGCUAUCAACAAGUGGAAAAUGUGUUCCGUACGAAAAAUAGUAUGCGCUACGUACGGUAUGGGGCACUAAAGGAUCGAACCGUGCAACGACUUUCAAAACAUUGUGUUUGUUGUUCUAACAACACAUUUAUUCAACCAACAGACGAAAUAUACUACUGAUUGUACAUUGAAAACAGCAGCAGCAACCAGGGCUGGGGGUGCAACAGAAGCAGUAAGCAGGCCAGAAGAGUGAAGACGCAGCUCUUUCUUCCAAACCAAACAUCAGCCAUCAUUACAAAAGGGCUACCAAAAAAGAACAAGUGUAUGCAUCAAACUAAAUAAAGAUCCUACUACACCAAGUGUACGCAUCUAACUAACUGGCUCAGUUAGACGUUACUAUUUAUUAAGCUGUGGACAUUGGCUGGCGGCUUGAACCAGAUGGGUGCCUGACGGGGGAAACUCCAGCCAGCAGGUCGAAGUCUGAUACUUGCGACCCUCUCUCCUACUUUGGGCUGCAGAGCGUGGGGGCACAUAUCAGGGUAUGGUGCAUGCAGAGACGCAUGGUACGCUGUGUACACACAGUUUUGCCUAAUGAACGAAACCGCGCUGCCAUCAUGAUCCUUGCCGUUGGUUAUCUCCUGGUUAAUCGGAUAAUUCAGUCCGACAAACAGAGAGCGUGUACCAAGGCUACUUACCAGCCUCCAGUCAAAAAUUCCUGAAGGCCCAGAGAAGCUGGGAUCCUGCUCAAAGACCUUGCAGUGACUGUGAUUGUAUUCUGCGAGAUAACACGUCUGGUACGUGCGAACGAUCAUCAAUCUUUCGCCGUCGUGAACCACCUGCAACUGCCAUGCCGCUUUUCUUUGAAAGGUUCUGGGAUUAGGAAGGGUAGGGACACCAGGCGGCCUACAACAUCAUAUCAAGUUGGAGUCAAAUAAAAAAGGGCUCUUGAUUUAGUCAAUCUCAAGAACAACAUGUUAUGAGCAUGAAUUUUUUUCCAGCAAAUGUUGACAGUAAUAUAAGCAAGCCAUCAUGAUAUCAUAGGAAAGUAACAUACUGCUGUAACAACCGUUUGUAGCGAUGACUGGAGUAGGCCAGCAAUACGUCCAGCCAUAGAAGGAGUCGACAGCGUAAAUGAAGCCCUUGUGUUCAAUGGCAUCAGAGAACCAUGGAGGAUGUAUGAUCCUGCGAUGGACGUGCAGAUUUAUCCAUGUACCGCAGUGACCUGUCAGAUAGGCGAGACCGCGGUUGAAGAACGCAAUUAGCCUGAAGUCUUUAUAAUUCGCAGAUCUUGUGGGUGUUGGGGAUCGUAGCAGAAAUUAAAAUUUUCUAUGCAUCACCAAGAUCAAUCUAUGGAGUUUACUAGCAACGAGAGGGGAGGAGUGCAUCUACAUACCCUUGUAGAUCGCGAGCGGAAGCGUUCAAGAGAACGGGGUUGAAGGAGUCGUACUCGUCGUGAUCCAAAUCACCGAUGAUCCAAGCGCCGAACGGACGGCACCUCCGCGUUCAACACAUGUACGGAGCGGUGACGUCUCCCACGCCUUGAUCCAGCAAGGAGGAGGGAGAGGUUGAGGAAGAAGGCUCCAACAGCAGCACGACGACGUGGUGGUGGUGGAGUGACAGUUCUCCGGUAGGGCUUCGCCAAGCACACGCGGAGGAGGAGAGGUGUUGGGGAGGGGAGGGGCUGCGCCUUGGAUGUGGUGCUGCAGCCCUCCCCUCACCCCUCUAUUUAUAGGGAGAAGGGGGAAGGGGGCCGGCCCCUCUAGAUGAGAUCUAGAGGGGGGGCGACGGCCAAGGGGGGAGGGAGCUUGCCCCCCAAGCAAGGGGGUGCCCCCCCCUUUAGGGUUCCCCCCCAAACCCUAGGCGCAUCGGCCCUAGGGGGGUUGGCGCCCAGCCCACUGAGGGCUGGUUCCCUUCCACCUACAGCCCAUAAGGCCCUACGGGGCAGGUGGACCCUCCCGGUGGACCCCCGGAACCCCUCCGAUGGUCCCGGUACAAUACCGGUAUACCCCCGAAUAUUUCCGGUGACCGUAUGGUGACUUCCCAUAUAUAAAUCUUUACCUCCGGACCAUUCCAGAACUCCUCAUGACGUCCGGGAUCUCAUCCGGGACUCCGACCAACAUUCAGUAAUCACAUACAAACCUUCCUUAUAACCCUAGCGUCAUCGAACCUUAAGUGUGUAGACCCUACGGGUUCGGGAAUCAUGCAGACAUGACCGAGACACCUCUCUAGCCAAUAACCAACAACGGGAUCUGGAUACCCAUGUUGGCUCCCACAUGUUCCACGAUGAUCUCAUCAGAGGAACCACGAUGUCGAGGAAUCAAGCAAUCCCGUAUACAAUUCCCUUUGUCAAUCAGUACUUUACUUGCCCGAGAUUCGAUCGUCGGUAUUCCAAUACCUCGUUCAAUCUCGUUAUCGGCAAGUCACUUUACUCAUUCCGUAAUGCAUGAUCCUGUGACUAACUACUUAGUCACAUUGAGCUCAUUAUGAUGAUGCAAUACCGAGUGGGCCCAGAGAUACCUCUCCGUCAUACGGAGUGACAAAUCCCAGUCUCGAUCCGAGCCAACCCAACAGACACUUUCGGAGAUACCUGUAGUGCACCUUUAUAGCCAUCCAGUUACGUUGUGACGUUUGGUACACCCAAAGCAUUCCUACGGUAUCCGGGAGUUGCACGAUCUCAUGGUCUAAGGAAAUGGUACUUGACAUUAGAAAAGCUUUAGCAAACGAACUACACGAUCUAGUGCUAUGCUUAGGAUUGGGUCUUGUCCAUCACAUCAUUCUCCUAAUGAUGUGAUCCCGUUAUCAAUGACAUCCAAUGUCCAUGGUCAGGAAACCAUAACCAUCUAUUGAUCAACGAUCUAGUCAACUAGAGGCUCACUAGGGACAUGUUAUGGUCUAUGUAUUCACACAUGUAUUACGAUUUCCGGAUAACACAAUUAGAGCAUGAACAAUAGACAAUUAUCAUGAACAAGGAAAUAUAAUAAUAACCAUUUUAUUAUUGCCUCUAGGGCGUAUUUCCAACAGUCUCGCACUUGCACUAGAGUCAAUAAUCUAGUUACAUUGUGAUGAAUCGUACACCCAUAGAGUUCUGGUGUUGAUCAUGUUUCGCUCGUGGAAGAGGUUUAGUCAACGGAUCUGCGACAUUUAAAUCCGUAUGCACUUUACAAAUAUCUAUGUCUCCAUUUUGAACAUUUUCAUGAAUGGAGUUGAAGCGACACUUAAUGUGCCUGGUCUUCUUGUGAAACCUGGGCUCCUUGGCAAGGGCAAUAGCUCCAGUGUUGUCACAGAAGAGAGUCAUCGGCCCCGAUGCAUUGGGAAUAACUCCUAGGUCGGCAAUGAACUCCUUCAUCCAGAUUGCUUCAUGUGCUGCCUCCGAGGCUGCCAUGUACUCCGCUUCACAUGUAGAUCCUGCCACGACGGUUUGCUUGCAACUGCACCAGCUGACUGCCCCACCAUUCAAAAUAUACACAUAUCCGGUUUGUGACUUAGAGUCAUCCAGAUCUGUGUCGAAGCUAGCAUCGACGUAACCCUUUACGACGAGCUCUUCGUCACCUCCAUAAACGAGAAACAUAUCCUUAGUCCUUUUCAGGUACUUCAAGAUGUUCUUGACCGCUGUCCAAUGUUCCAUGCCGGGAUUACUUUGGUACCUUCCUACCAAACUUACGGCAAGGUUUACAUCAGGUCUGGUACACAGCAUGGCAUACAUAAUAGACCCUAUGGCCGAGGCAUAGGGGACGACACUCAUCUUUUCUCUAUCUUCUGCCGUGGUCGGGCAUUGAGCCGUGCUCAAUCUCACACCUUGCAAUACAGGCAAGAACCCCUUCUUGGACUGAUCCAUAUUGAACUUCUUCAAUAUCUUGUCAAGGUAUGUGCUUUGUGAAAGACCUAUGAGGCGUCUCGAUCUAUCUCUAUAGAUCUUGAUGCCUAAUAUGUAAGCAGCUUCUCCAAGGUCCUUCAUUGAAAAACACUUAUUCAAGUAGGCCUUUAUACUUUCCAAGAAUUCUAUAUCAUUUCCCAUCAAUAGUAUCUCAUCCACAUAUAAUAAGAGAAAUGCUACAGAGCUCCCACUCACUUUCUUGUAAACACGGGCUUCUCCAUAAGUCUGCGUAAACCCAAACGCUUUGAUCAUCUCAGCAAAGCGAAUGUUCCAACUCCGAGAUGCCUACACCAGCCCAUAGAUUGAGCGCUCGAGCUUGCAUACUUUGUCAGCAUUCUUAGGAUCGACAAAACCUUCCGGCUGCAUCAUAUACAAUUCUUCCUUAAGGAAGCCGUUAAGGAAUGCUGUUUUGACGUCCAUUUGCCAUAUUUCAUAAUCGUAGAAUGCGGCAAUUUCUAACAUGAUUCGGACGGACUUCAGCUUCGCUACGGGUGAGAAGGUCUCAUCAUAGUCAACUCCUUGAACUUGUCGAUAACCCUUAGCGACAAGUCGAGCUUUAUAGAUGGUAACAUUUCCAUCCGCGUCCGUCUUCUUCUUAAAGAUCCAUUUAUUUUCUAUCGCUCGCCGAUCAUCGGGCAAGUCUGUCAAAGUCCAUACUUUGUUUUCAUACAUGGAUCCUAUCUCGGAUUGCAUGGCUUCAAGCCAUUUGUUGGAAUCUAGACCCGCCAUUGCUUCUUCAUAGUUCGAAGGUUAACCAUUGUCCAACAACAUGAUUUCCAGGACAGGGUUGCCGUACCACUCUGGUGCGGAACGUGUCCUUGUGGACCUACGAGGUUCAGUGGUAACUUGAUCAUGAUCGUCAUCAUUAACUUCCUCUCUAGUCGGUGCAGGCACCACAGAAACAUUUUCUUGUGCUGCGCUACUUUCUGGUUCGAGAGGGGUCAUCUCAUGAAGUUCCACUUUCCUCCCACUUACUUCUUUCGAGAGAAACUCUUUCUCCAGAAAGGACCCGUUCUUGGCAACGAAGAUCUUGCCUUCGGAUUUGAGGUAGAAGGUAUACCCAAUGGUUUCCUUAGGGUAUCCUAUGAAGACGCAUUUUUCCGACUUGGGUUCGAGCUUUUCAGGUUGAAGUUUCUUGACAUAAGCAUCGCAUCCCCAAACUUUAAGAAACGACAGCUUAGGUUUCUUUCCAAACCAUAAUUUAUACGGUGUCGUCUCAACGUAUUUCGACGGAGCCCUAUUUAAAGUGAAUGCGGCAGUCUCUAAAGCAUAACCCCAAAAUGAUAGCGGUAUAUCGGUAAGAGACAUCAUAGAUCGCACCAUAUCCAAUAGAGUGCGAUUACGACGUUCGGACACACCAUUACGCUGAGGUGUUCCAGGCGGCGUGAGUUAUGAAACAAUUCCACAUUUCCUUAAGUGUGGGCCAAAUUCGUGACUCAAAUAUUCCCCUCCACGAUCUGAUUGUAAGAACUUUAUUUUCCUGUCACGUUGAUUCUCAACCUCACUCUGAAAUUCCUUGAACUUUUCAAAGGUCUCAGACUUGUGUUU
This 38257-nucleotide long non-coding RNA is filed under the name Triticum aestivum (bread wheat). Its description in RNAcentral is "long non-coding RNA (TAES_LNC024811)". Lineage: Eukaryota; Viridiplantae; Streptophyta; Magnoliopsida; Poales; Poaceae. The record is from RNAcentral.